ACAUGCAGUCGACGGCAGCACGGGGGCAACCCUGGUGGCGAGUGGCGAACGAGUGAGUAAUGCAUCGGAACGUGCCCCGUAGCGGGGGGUAACCAGUCGAAAGAUUGGCUAAUACCGCAUACGCUCCACGGAGGAAAGCAGGGGACCGCAAGGCCUUGCACUAUGGGAGCGGCCGAUGCCCGAUUAGCUAGUUGGUGAGGUAAGGGCUCACCAAGGCAACGAUCGGUAGCUGGUCUGAGAGGACGACCAGCCACACUGGGACUGAGACACGGCCCAGACUCCUACGGGAGGCAGCAGUGGGGAAUUUUGGACAAUGGGCGAAAGCCUGAUCCAGCCAUGCCGCGUGCGGGAAGAAGGCCUUCGGGUUGUAAACCGCUUUUGGCAGGAACGAAACGGCGCUCGCUAAUACCGGGCGCUAAUGACGGUACCUGCAGAAUAAGCACCGGCUAACUACGUGCCAGCAGCCGCGGUAAUACGUAGGGUGCAAGCGUUAAUCGGAAUUACUGGGCGUAAAGCGUACGCAGGCGGCCAUGUAAGACAGGUGUGAAAUCCCCGGGCUUAACCUGGGAACUGCAUUUGUGACUGCAUGGCUAGAGUUUGUCAGAGGGGGGUGGAAUUCCACGUGUAGCAGUGAAAUGCGUAGAGAUGUGGAGGAACACCGAUGGCGAAGGCAGCCCCCUGGGACAUGACUGACGCUCAGGUACGAAAGCGUGGGGAGCAAACAGGAUUAGA
Molecule: ribosomal RNA, 732 nt
Filed under: uncultured bacterium
Lineage: Bacteria
Description: bacterial SSU rRNA
Rfam family: Bacterial small subunit ribosomal RNA
Source: RNAcentral